UACGUAGGUGGCAAGCGUUGUCCGGAUUUACUGGGCGUAAAGAGCGCGCAGGCGGUCGAUUAAGUCGAGUGUGAAAGCCCCCGGCUCAACUGGGGAGGGUCACUUGAUACUGGUCGACUCGAAGGCAGGAGAGGGAAGUGGAAUUCCCGGUGUAGUGGUGAAAUGCGUAGAUAUCGGGAGGAACACCGGUGGCGAAGGCGGCAUCCUGGACCAAUUCUGACACUGAGGAGCGAAAGCCAGGGGAGCAAACGGG
Molecule: ribosomal RNA, 253 nt
Filed under: uncultured bacterium
Lineage: Bacteria
Description: partial 16S ribosomal RNA
Rfam family: Bacterial small subunit ribosomal RNA
Source: RNAcentral